CAGCCACACACCCCACGACGCUCCUUCGUCUCUCUAACUCUCGUGCAUGACCUACCCUCGCCAGCCCUAGGUGUGCUGCCGCCACCAUGUCUUCAUCUCGCAGCCCCUCAAGCGCCCUGUAGGAGCGGCAUCUCCGUCUACGCCUACUCGCCGCUGUCCUCUUUCUCCGAUAUUCCCUAAAGGUGAAGCAGGGUGCAUCUUUUUCUUGAAUCGGCCAUGAGCUCCAUCCCCAAAUCAGUGGCGCACUACAUCCCUGAAGCAUGUGUCCGAGUUUUCAAGCCAUAUCUGGAGUUCUUGGGCGAGCUGUCGCCAGAUCAACCAUGUCGAGCAACCAGCCGGAGGUAUAUACAGAUAUCUGACCAGUUUCAAUUGGGGGCCUCUCGGUUGGGAGGGGCUCAGGGCGUGCAUCACUUUGAGGGUCUGGAAUGACUGUAAAGAUAGGUUCCUUCAAGUGCAACUCCCAAUUUAUUCUACAUCUGACUUUUUUUUCUUAUGGAUCCUUUGUAUUAGAUGUCAACAGAAGGUGAUCAGUAUAUUAGAGACUUCAAGAAAUUUGAACCGGAUCUCACAACCUCAUAUCUCUCUCUGUCUCUCUCGGUUGGUUAACAAGUUGCCCUGGUAUUGAUGUUUAUUAAGUUUCUCCCAAUUUUUUUCUUUUGUUUCUCUACAUGUUAGGCCAACGAAGGUUUACAAGUAGGUACAAAUCUUCAGAGACUCAUCUUCUUGGUAGGCAAAGAAUAAAUUUAAGUUGGUAUUUCUUAGUUAAUUAAACACCAGGUCCGGAGGUUUGAAACAGAUUCAGAGCACUGAGUUAUGGUGGAGCUGAUGUGUUCUUUCUAUACGUAUUCCCUGGGAGAUUAUCACUUAAUCUGUAAAAUUUGAUGGUGCCCGCUGGGAGUUCAUGCAGAUUUGCUUCCUCAUGUGUACUUAUAAGUUAUCUGUUCACAAAUGUUCAACUGCUGCAGUUGAUGCUUGGUUAUUGCAGUACAUAUGUUAACUCUAAACUGGACAAUUGAUUCAGUAAAACUACUUUUUGUUUGAUUGUAUCUUCAGCAACGGUACUCUUAUUUCAUGACGCUAUACUGAACCACUGGUUUGUUCCUCGAGCUGUACUAUAGACUCUUAAUUGUGAUUUUUUGAAGCAAAUUUCAUGUCUGCUACUUAUCAUAAAUUUAGAUAAUCGUAGGCUUUUCAGAAGCUUUUGACCCUACAAAGAAGGCUCUUAAGAAGAUGUACUACAUGAAUAUGCGGAUAUUACAUGUAUGUUUUUCUUUCUUUAAAUUUCCGAUGCUUAUGAAUCAUCCAUGUAAGUAGUUAGCAUGUAUGGAAGACAAUAUAUGUUUUGAUCCGUCGAGAGGUGCUUUUCCCUCCCAUUUCAUUUCGGCUUCGCCUCCAAAAUAUUUCAUUGCUUCUUGCACAUCUUGGCUACUUGAUUUCUGUAACUUUUUGCAGUUUCAUUUCAUAUUUUCAUGUAAGAUGUGUGCUUCAUUAAGUUCUUUAUUUUUUGGCUUCAUUACAUUGUAAUCUCAUGUUUUUUGGCCAUUAAAAUAGUAGCCACCUUUUACAAUGGAACUAGACACACCUUGCUCAUUUUACAAAUGAUUUUACCUGAUAUAAUGUAGUACACAUUUUUGCAGGAACUAUUGUAAGACAUAGCAGAAGAAUAUAAGUCAAUGUAAGAUGCCAUGAGAAACCAAGAGAGGGAAUUAAAAACAUGUGAUAAACAUAAGAAAAAGAGGACGCAAAGCAGUGGUCUCUAAAAGCACCAUUGCAUAGAUAGGAUGAUGUUUACCUACAACCACCGUAUUCUGUGUAUAUGUGAAUUUCAAUCUCUUCCAACUUACAAGGGGGUCAAGGUAAGAAUAUGAGGGUGUAUAAACAUGAUAACAGGAUAAUAUGCCAUGGUGGACCACACUAGCUUAUCGAAGUGCUCUGAGAUAUUAGCGCAUGCCUGAGCUUUGCCUCGUAUGAAGUCCAUCACAAUUGAACAUAGUUCAGUUUUUUUAACUUACAGGCUUACGGCUACUAACUUUAUCUUAUCUGCUCCAUUUUCUGGCAAACUAGGUUCAGAAAGGCAUGAUGUUCUCCGUUGUGUAUUCUGUGGUGGAUGGAGUAGCACGACUUCGAUUUCUUUGCAUGCCAAAGAAAAAAAGAACUGCACAUUUUCAAAACUUGAGACAUGGAGCUUGCGGAAGACUUUUCAAUUUGUAUUCAACCCAUGACACAGUAUCAGCAUGGACAUUUUAGCAACAAGUAUUUCUCUUAAAUAUACUCCUUUGUUGGUUUGCAGUUAUAAUGUGGAGGGUAUUUUCCUCUGAUGCAACCAUACACUGUUAACACAUGUAUAUCAUGUGCCAAUUGUGAUUAUUUAUCCAUUAAUUUAUUUACUGGCUGCAUCCAUGUUUUCCAUAUCUUUUGUUAACAUAGUUUACUACUCCCUCCAUUCCAUAUCAAGUGUCGCUGAUUUAGUAUGGAGGGAGUACUUUGCAAGAAUAAAGUAAGACGGAGUACAUUAGUUUGAGAUCAACCUAAUGUGAUUAUGGUACUGUUAUAAUGUGACAACCUUAGCGCAACUGCCUAAUACAUUAGCAUAAGAUAUCCUUUUCUGAUUACUAAAUGAUACAACAUAUCUUUAUGUAAUUGAAUUUCUUUGUUUCAUUUAUCUUAUAUCUGUGAGAAUACUAUCAGUUGUCACAACUGCCUGAUACAAUAGCAUAAGAUGAUAUACUUUAUGUAAUUGAAUUUCUAUGUUUCAUUUCUCUUAUAUUUACGAGAAUCCCAAUUAUUCCAACGAAAAAAUAGAUGGGCGCAGCAACGCGCGCCAUCGAUGAUCUAGUUUAGAAACAUUAAAACUAAGCAUGCUAGGAAGCCUCUCACGCCAUCAACAAUUUGGGUCGUCAGAUCGCGCCUCCGAGUCAUUUUUGGUCGUCCGAUGCACCUCCUCCUCCCGCAUGGGCCGCUACUCUAGAAACAAAUUUAAAGGCCUCUCGUUUGAUCCCAGACUAACGGUCCUGAUGAGGCCAAGUAUCCACCGCACCCGUCCCUUCAGAUCUCUCGACCUAGAGUGAAACCUAUGCGCCGCCGCAGAGAGAGGGUGACUAAUGGCGAUGGCGGCGAGGCGCCGUGACCCAAAGGAGGAAGGAAGCUGCCUGUUUCUGGAUGGACGAAGAGGAAACCAUCGCAUGGUCAUUCCCCUCCCCGACCCUUCAUUCUCUACCUCGCGGCAGGUGAACACGCUUGUCGCUGCCUCUGCCAUCUCUGCCACCCAUCCUCAUCCCGAUCCUUGUGUACCUAGGAGAUCAGGCUUCCCUCCCCGAGCUCGCCUCCUGCGGCUCCUCUCCACUUUGCGGCGACUAUUCCAUGCGCCGCCGCGACACCAGCCGCCUCCCAGUCGUCGGUGCCGCGAACCAGGACCGCCGUCCGGCUAUGAGAAUUUCCUCGACACCCAUCCGCCAGUUCGUCAGCCUGACCCUGCCCAUCUUCUCGCUCGUUCGCCAGUCUACAUGUUACCUCUCAGUUCGUGGGAUCUCCGGAUAUUCUCUACAGCUUUUGGAAGCAGGAACCUGGCACCGGAUUUACAUAGCAUGGAAGAUUUAUCAUUUUUUUAGAGAGAAGGAAGAUUUAUCAUUUCUGCCUACGUCUCCUUUAUUAUUUUUUCAUUCACGUUGUUUAAGCGUUGAGUUGACAGAUUAAUUAAUGGAAUAUGCAGGUUGGCUUUGUUCAUUGUUUAUUCUGAUGCUCGAUAGAGGUAGUUUGAGGUGUACGAAGAUGUGGACAUAUUGCAGAAACUUUGGCUUUGAUGUGUACCGUGCGGACAGAGAAUGGGCAGCCCGGUGCAUGUAGCUCCCGCUUGCGCAGGGUCGGAGAAGGGUCCGACCACUUUGGGUCUAUAGUACGCAGCCUUUCCCUACAUUUCUGUAAGAGGCUGUUUCCAGGACUUGAACCCGUGACCUCAUGGUCACAAGGCAGCAGCUUUACCACUGCGCCAAGGCUCCCCUUCCAUUAAAAACAUGUCAGUUCAGCUCAAUUCAGAGUGUUAGUGUUUGGAGAUUCUACAUAUGUAGUAACCUUUUUCAAGCUAGAGUGGCGGGCUUUCAAAACUACUGGAGUUCUGUACACUUUAUGGGUUCUUGAGGUGUCAAGUAGAUGUGUGUAUGAUUGGUAGCUAAUUCUGUAUGUGGGGGUAAUUCUUAUGCAGUCAUGUACCUUCCGUUGAAAUACCACACAACUCCUUUGCCUAUUAGAAUUAUAGAUACCACAAAGCAACCGUUAUGGCAAUUUGUCAAAUGUAGAUGUUCCUUCUAGACUUUAGAUAGAUAUAUGUAUUUCUUGGAAGUAAGCACAUGGUAAAAAAAUAGGCUCAUAUUCAUGAAGGAAAGUGCCACUGACCCUCACAUGGUAGGCUGAGACCAAAAUAGUGUUUCGAUUCUCUUCUCUGUAUAAUUAAUUUGCAUUUCCCUAUGGUGACAUAGAAUCGCAUGCGCAUGCUUUAAGUUGUUCCUCAAUUUAUUUUUUGGUCAACUUCAGGAAAUUAAGGAGCUCAGGACCAUAUACAUUCAGUCUAUCUAUAUAUACAGCAGUAAAUAACCUCAGCCAUCAGGUAAAUUCUUGCCUUCAGGUUACCUAUGAUGUGAAUCAUUCAAGUAAGGAUAAGCUAGCUUAUUAUCCUAGAAACUGCUAUUAGAAGAUGCCAUAAUCUGAAUAGUUAGCCAUCUGUUAAAAGCACAUCCACUUAAAUUUAUUUCUUGCAUGUACUCCCUCCGUUCGGAAUUACUUGUUGCGAAAAUGGAUGUAUCUAGAACUAAAAUACGUCUAGAUACAUCCAUUUCUGCGACGAGUAAUUCCGAACGGAGGAAGUAUAAGUUUUGGAUUGCGCAACUGCGCUAUGCAUACCAGUUCUGCUUGUUUAUAUGUUACUAAAAUAUUGCAUACAUAUCUACCGACAUAUAUGUAAUACUCUAUCAAAAUGAGAAUGGAUGGGAUAUUCCUAUCUUUCAUAGGUCUGCAUACUAUAUAAGCAUCCGAAGGCCUUCUAGCUAGCACCCUCCUGCAAUCACCCCCCAUGAGUGUAGGUAUGCUACUCAUAUGUUUCUCUCAUUUUCCCCUAGAAUUCUCCAUAUAUUUUUCACCUCCGCUUCUGUUUUACCCUCCCUUCCAUGCCCCUUCAGCAGCUGCAGCCUUUACUUAUCUUCUUCAUCCAAUAUGUCUGCAAGGUCUGUUAUUUUCAGGAUAUGAUGCUUUAGAGUCUGUUUUGUAUGCAUGUCAAUGCAGAUAUUUGGAAUAGACAGGGCCACAAUCCAAUAUGGUUUUGAUGCGAUCAGAAAUCCCAAUAUAGGAAAUAUGACGCCUUUUCGUGUGUUGUAUUUUGAUGGGAAAUUUACAUAGUUGAACAUUAUGGUUUCAUACCAGCUAAUGACGAAAUGUGAACUAUUUUUUGUUUUUAUUGGUAAAAAAAUGUGGCAACUCGCUAACAAGGGAAAAUCAUUACUCCCUUUUAUAUUUAUAAUAAUUCCGAUCUAUCUGAGGCUACUUGUGAAUUACUAAAUUAGUGUUGUUUUUGUUCAAUUUCUAUAAUGCGGGUAUAGUUGAAUGACCCAUGGGGAUCAAUCUGUUCAUAAUUAUAGUGAUUAGAUAAAUACCAUCCAUUUUGAUGUUUGUCAUGUACAUAUCUAACUUUUUUCAAAAAAUAUAAAGUGGCCGCAUGCAUCGCCCAGAUGCAGAGGCCGGCGGUGAUCCUCCUUUUCUAAAAAAAAUGUGUAACUUUUUUCUUCUAGAGAAAUCCAUCUUAAACACACAUUUAGUUUACAACAGAUAUCUCUGGCUGUUGGGAGUGUGUUCGUACGUUUUCUUAAUCUGAACAAUCUAUGAGAGAGGAUCGCAUGCCUAUUAUUGCUUUUAUUUUGUAUGCUUUUGGAGUUUAGCUCGAUGUACUUCCAGGUAUCUCCACGAAAUAAAGAAACCACAUUUGGGGAAAAUUUUGUUCGGGGUCAAUGAAAGCAACCAACUCCAAAUAUUGGUGAAAAACAUUUUCUGUUUGAUAGUGGAUUAUAUUUUUGUGCUUAACUCAUCAAUAGAGGUGCUUUGCCAUUAUUGUUGGUCAGAAAAUGAAGUUAAUGUUCUUAUUUCGAUAGGUAAAAUCACUAUUUGGUAUUACCCUUUCACUUUGGAUUUUUGGUGCUUGAUAUAUUUACAGAAAUUAAUAUCAUUCGAAACUGAUGGAUGUUCCAACACAUGUCAUCAUGGCUUCAUUUAUGAGCUUAUGAGUAAAGUUAUGGCCAAAUGCCUAAAUAUAUUUAUGAAAAUUCUUAUCAUUAUAUCGUCAAAAUGGACAGGCGCGGCAAUGCGCGCCAUCAAUGAUCUAGUAUCUACUUAUUGAGAGGCGCUACCCACACCCAGCACACCGCCUCCCAAAAAACCUAGGUACUCUUCUUCCUCCUCACUCUCACCCACCUCACGUCAGCUCGCUCCACUCGUACCCCCAAAUUCCUUACCUCAUUCCUACAGAAAACCCUAGCUCCCCUUCUUCUUCACUCGCACUAGAACUAGGCUCGUCAUUCGUUACUCUGCUCAAAUCCAUGAGCGCGAUGCGAUGCCUUCGAGGAAAAUGGAGUCUGCUGACCCCAACGCCAAGAAGAUGAGGCUCCCACCAGGUGACGCCUGUUGUAGAUCCCCCACCCGGCAGCGCGGGGAGAAGCGGCGACCCCUCCCCCACCGGAUCCCAGGAACCCGUAGAAUCUCGGGUGGACCGCAUCAGCGAUCUCCCGGACACUGUUCUUGGGGAGAUCAUCUCGCUUCUCCCCACCAAGGAUUGCUUCCGCACCAAAGUCCUCUCGAUUUGGUGGCGCCCUCUAUGGCGCGGUGCCCCUUAAUCUCGACUAUCGUCAGCUAUCUCUCUUCAAUAAUUUUGAAAUUCCUAGAGCCAUCAUCUCCUCCCACCAGGGCUCCAUUCAAAGCCUC
RNA transcript from Triticum aestivum (bread wheat), 6957 nucleotides. RefSeq lists it as uncharacterized. The transcript is spliced from 3 exons. The record is from RefSeq and is a predicted model, not a curated record. NCBI's taxonomy places the organism in Eukaryota, Viridiplantae, Streptophyta, Magnoliopsida, Poales, Poaceae.